UCGACGAUGAUCCCAGCUUGCUGGGGGAUUAGUGGCGAACGGGUGAGUAACACGUGAGUAACCUGCCCUUAACUCUGGGAUAAGCCUGGGAAACUGGGUCUAAUACCGGAUAUGACUCCUCAUCGCAUGGUGGGGGGUGGAAAGCUUUAUUGUGGUUUUGGAUGGACUCGCGGCCUAUCAGCUUGUUGGUGAGGUAAUGGCUCACCAAGGCGACGACGGGUAGCCGGCCUGAGAGGGUGACCGGCCACACUGGGACUGAGACACGGCCCAGACUCCUACGGGAGGCAGCAGUGGGGAAUAUUGCACAAUGGGCGAAAGCCUGAUGCAGCGACGCCGCGUGAGGGAUGACGGCCUUCGGGUUGUAAACCUCUUUCAGUAGGGAAGAAGCGAAAGUGACGGUACCUGCAGAAGAAGCGCCGGCUAACUACGUGCCAGCAGCCGCGGUAAUACGUAGGGCGCAAGCGUUAUCCGGAAUUAUUGGGCGUAAAGAGCUCGUAGGCGGUUUGUCGCGUCUGCCGUGAAAGUCCGGGGCUCAACUCCGGAUCUGCGGUGGGUACGGGCAGACUAGAGUGAUGUAGGGGAGACUGGAAUUCCUGGUGUAGCGGUGAAAUGCGCAGAUAUCAGGAGGAACACCGAUGGCGAAGGCAGGUCUCUGGGCAUUAACUGACGCUGAGGAGCGAAAGCAUGGGGAGCGAACAGGAUUAGAUACCCUGGUAGUCCAUGCCGUANACGUUGGGCACUAGGUGUGGGGNACAUUCCACGUUUUCCGCGCCGUAGCUAACGCAUUAAGUGCCCCGCCUGGGGAGUAC
This 809-nucleotide ribosomal RNA is filed under the name uncultured bacterium. Its description in RNAcentral is "bacterial SSU rRNA". It matches the Rfam family "Bacterial small subunit ribosomal RNA", at positions 62 to 883 of the family's 1533-position model. The record is from RNAcentral.